Non-coding RNA from Pelobates cultripes (western spadefoot toad), 446 nucleotides. Lineage: Eukaryota; Metazoa; Chordata; Amphibia; Anura; Pelobatidae. The record is from the annotation of a GenBank genome assembly.
UUGUAAAAUAUUUAUAACUCUGCUGUUGUGUCCGACAAUUUACAUGAACAAGUAAGAGUACAAACCAGAACAGAGACAAACUGCACCAUCAAUUGGUAAAUGAUUUAAAAUGACUUCAGGAUCUUGAAAGUAUGCAAUAAAAUUUGUAUUACUGUUCUUAUGAACUUCCGUAUAAAGUUUAGAGACAACAGCGGUAAUCAAAUUCCUUCAUUAAAGUGACAGUAACAUAUUGGAACAAAUAAGACUCAUGCAGGCACCUUUGGUAUAUGGAUGUUCUAUGUCAUAAGAUGAAGGUUACCGCCUAUGUCGUGGCACGUUGACUCUGAGUGUACAAGAUCUAAUUACAGAUCACUCACAACUACCCCAAAUUUUACAAAAAAAUGGAUAUACGCCAUUUUAAAAAAAAAACUUUCUUUAAUUAAAGGACCACUCUAGGCACCCAGACC